This 253-nucleotide ribosomal RNA is filed under the name uncultured bacterium. RNAcentral's name for it is "partial 16S ribosomal RNA". It matches the Rfam family "Bacterial small subunit ribosomal RNA", at positions 524 to 776 of the family's 1533-position model. The record is from RNAcentral.
UACGAAGGGUGCAAGCGUUACUCGGAAUUACUGGGCGUAAAGGGUGCGUAGGUGGUUUGUUAAGUCUGCUGUGAAAUCCCCGGGCUCAACCUGGGAAUGGCAGUGGAUACUGGCAAGCUAGAGUGCGGUAGAGGGUAGUGGAAUUCCCGGUGUAGCAGUGAAAUGCGUAGAGAUCGGGAGGAACACCAGUGGCGAAGGCGGCUACCUGGACCAGCACUGACACUGAAGCACGAAAGCGUGGGGAGCAAAAGGG